RNAcentral lists this ribosomal RNA (24 nucleotides) under Phoma herbarum. Its description in RNAcentral is "partial 28S large subunit ribosomal RNA". The record is from RNAcentral. Lineage: Eukaryota; Fungi; Ascomycota; Dothideomycetes; Pleosporales; Didymellaceae.
ACUCUUGACCUCGGAUCAGGUAGG